Molecule: ribosomal RNA, 483 nt
Filed under: uncultured bacterium
Lineage: Bacteria
Description: bacterial SSU rRNA
Rfam family: Bacterial small subunit ribosomal RNA
Source: RNAcentral
AUGAACGCUAGCGGCAGGCUUAAACAUGCAAGUCGAGGGGCAACACGGGUAGCAAUACCUGGGUGGCGACCGGCGCAAGGGUGCGUAACGCGUGAGCAACAUGCCCUAUACAGGGGGAUAAUCCAGGGAAACUUGGUCUAAUAUCCCAUAGUAUUUAGAGGUGGCAUCACCACUAAAUUAAAGCUUCGGUGGUAUAGGAUUGGCUCGCGUGACAUUAGCUGGAUGGUGGGGUAACGGCUCACCAUGGCGAUGAUGUCUAGGGGUUCUGAGAGGAAGACCCCCCACACUGGGACUGAGACACGGCCCAGACUCCUACGGGAGGCAGCAGUGAGGAAUAUUGGACAAUGGAUGGAAAUCUGAUCCAGCCAUGCCGCGUGCAGGAAGACGGCCCUAUGGGUUGUAAACUGCUUUUAUAUGGGAGCAAUAAGGUUUACGCGUAGACCGAUGAGAGUACCAUAUGAAUAAGCAUCGGCUAACUCCGUG